ACCGAGUGCGGGUCCUUUGGGCCCAACCUCCCAUCCGUGUCUAUUGUACCCUGUUGCUUCGGCGGGCCCGCCGCUUGUCGGCCGCCGGGGGGGCGCCUCUGCCCCCCGGGCCCGUGCCCGCCGGAGACCCCAACACGAACACUGUCUGAAAGCGUGCAGUCUGAGUUGAUUGAAUGCAAUCAGUUAAAACUUUCAACAAUGGAUCUCUUGGUUCCGGCAUCGAUGAAGAACGCAGCGAAAUGCGAUAACUAAUGUGAAUUGCAGAAUUCAGUGAAUCAUCGAGUCUUUGAACGCACAUUGCGCCCCCUGGUAUUCCGGGGGGCAUGCCUGUCCGAGCGUCAUUGCUGCCCUCAAGCCCGGCUUGUGUGUUGGGUCGCCGUCCCCCUCUCCGGGGGGACGGGCCCGAAAGGCAGCGGCGGCACCGCGUCCGAUCCUCGAGCGUAUGGGGCUUUGUCACAUGCUCUGUAGGAUUGGCCGGCGCCUGCCGACGUUUUCCAACCAUUCUUUCCAGGUUGACCUCGGAUCAGGUAGGGAUACCCGCUGAACUUAAGCAUAUC
This 557-nucleotide ribosomal RNA is filed under the name Aspergillus niger. RNAcentral describes it as "eukaryotic LSU rRNA". The stretch from base 188 to 341 matches the Rfam family "5.8S ribosomal RNA". The record is from RNAcentral. Lineage: Eukaryota; Fungi; Ascomycota; Eurotiomycetes; Eurotiales; Aspergillaceae. RNAcentral also lists the same sequence under 1 other name.